CACGUAGGGGGCAAGCGUUGUUCGGAAUUAUUGGGCGUAAAGGGCAUGUAGGCGGUUUGGUAAGCCUGGUGUGAAAUCCUGCAGCUUAACUGUAGAAUUGCAUUGGGUACUGCCAGACUUGAAUCACAGAGGGGAAACUAGAAUUCCAGGUGUAGGGGUGGAAUCUGUAGAUAUCUGGAAGAAUACCGGUGGCGAAGGCGGGUUUCUAGCUGAUGAUUGACGCUGAGGUGCGAAAGUGCGGGGAGCAAAC
RNAcentral lists this ribosomal RNA (250 nucleotides) under uncultured Treponema sp. Its description in RNAcentral is "partial 16S ribosomal RNA". It matches the Rfam family "Bacterial small subunit ribosomal RNA", at positions 524 to 773 of the family's 1533-position model. The record is from RNAcentral. Lineage: Bacteria; Pseudomonadati; Spirochaetota; Spirochaetia; Treponematales; Treponemataceae.